This is a non-coding RNA of Pelobates cultripes (western spadefoot toad), 290 nucleotides long. The record is from the annotation of a GenBank genome assembly. NCBI's taxonomy places the organism in Eukaryota, Metazoa, Chordata, Amphibia, Anura, Pelobatidae.
CCCCAUCUGACGUCAGCGGAGCGGAAUGCACAUGCGCUGCAGUGCUGCGUGCGCAUUCAAAGUGUCCAUAGGAAAGCAUUUUUUAAUUCUUUCCUAUGGACGCUCUGCGUGAUGGAGGCAUUAAAUGCCUCCAGCGUCGCAGAUGCACCUCUAGUGGCUGUCCGGAAGACAGCCACUAGAGGCUGGCUUAACCCCAAAUGUAAACAUAGCAGUUUCUCUGAAACUGCUAUGUUUACAGCAGGCAGGGUUAACCCUAGAGGGGCCUGGCACCCAGACCACUUCAUUGAGCU